RNAcentral lists this ribosomal RNA (394 nucleotides) under uncultured bacterium. RNAcentral describes it as "bacterial SSU rRNA". It matches the Rfam family "Bacterial small subunit ribosomal RNA", at positions 29 to 422 of the family's 1533-position model. The record is from RNAcentral.
AUUGAACGCUGGCGGCAUGCUUUACACAUGCAAGUCGAACGGCAGCACGGGGGCGAACCCUGGUGGCGAGUGGCGAACGGGUGAGUAACACAUCGGAACGUGUCCAGUUGUGGGGGAUAACCCAUCGAAAGGUGGGCUAAUACCGCAUGAGCUGGCAACAGGAAAGCGGGGACCCGCAAGGGCCUUGUGCGAUUGGAGCGGCCGAUGUCCGAUUAGCUAGUUGGUGGGGUAAAGGCCUACCAAGGCUUCGAUCGGUAGCUGGUCUGAGAGGAUGAUCAGCCACACUGGGACUGAGACACGGCCCAGACUCCUACGGGAGGCAGCAGUGGGGAAUUUUGGACAAUGGGGGCAACCCUGAUCCAGCCAUGCCGCGUGAGUGAUGAAGGCCUUAGGG